Molecule: long non-coding RNA, 1851 nt
Organism: Homo sapiens (human)
Lineage: Eukaryota; Metazoa; Chordata; Mammalia; Primates; Hominidae
Source: Ensembl
ACAUUUCUUGGUUCCCUGACCAGGAAACGAGGUAACUGAUAGACAUAGACGGCAGAGCUAACCCGUUAGGCGGCUUAGGCCUGUCCUGUGGAGCGUCCCUGCAGGGGACUCCAGUCAGCCUGAGUGACGCGAUCCAAAGAACGCUCCCGGGUAGGAAAUUGCCCCGGUGGAAUGCCUUGCCAGAGCAGCGCAUAGCAGGCCCCUGCAGAGGAUUAACACGGUGGCUGAACACCGGAAAGAACUGGCACUUGGAGUCGCGACAUCUGAAACUUGCUAUAUGGAGGAAGCAGCAGAGAAGGGCAAAUUUUAAAAAGUGGAAGAAAACUGGUAUGCAUAUUUUCAACCAAGUGAAAACGUCAAGGAGGUUAAAGUAAUCAACUGGGUCAAAUGCUGCUGAGAGGUCAAAUAAGUCCUCAAGAAUAACUGUAGAAUGUGCUGGGAGUGCAACAUCCUAAAAUAAGGAGGAAGUGGCUGAAACAGCCUGGGCUGUAUUCCUGUCUCCAUCUAGCACAAGAUGUCCUUCAACCCUUUAGCCCAGCGUGCAAGGUAAGCUGCUUAUUGGGGUCCCUCAGCUGUGGUGCAAGAAGAGCAUGUGCAGUUAAGACACCAUCUACCGUAGGCAGCUUUCUGAGUUACAAGGGACCAACACACAAUGAACCCUAGUCUUGCUAUCCCUUGCUGCCUGUCUGUAAGUACAAAUUUGCUUCAUAUAGCUUGCUUAUGAAUAUCUUAUGUCUCAGCUGAUUCAAAGAAGUUGGUAAGCAGUGCACAGUUAACCUGCUUCACACUUACAAUUUUCUGAUCUUUCACAAAUUACUGGGCAUUGGUCUUACAUCACUGCUCUUUUUGAACCUCGGGAUAUGGUAGAUACAACCAUUCAGUUUAUAUAUUUUUUUAUUUUUGGGACGGAGACUUGCUCUGUCACCCAGGCUGGAGUUCAGUGGCCUGAUCUCGACUCACUGCAACCUCCGCCUCCCGGGUUCAAGCGAUUCUGCUGCCUCGGCCUCCCAAGUAGCUGAGACUACGCGCACCACCACACCUGGCUACUUUUUGUAUUUUUUAAUAGAGACAGGGUUUCACCAUGUUAGCCAGGCUGGUCUCAGACUCCUGACCUGGCUCACGCCUGUAAUCCCAACACUUUGGGAAUUAAUCUUUAGAACUGGGCCAUUUUCCCUAACCACCUCCAAGCUCCCUCCCAAAUAAUCCUUUGAGCUUCCCUCCCAUUCCCCUUCAUCGCAAACACCACACCCACACCCUGCCUUCAGCCCAGUAUCCAUCCCACCAAACGCACACACUCUAGCUCAAAGAUACAGACAUACCUCUUUCCCACAGCCCUGGUUCUCGGUCUCUCCUGUAGUACUACCAGAACGUUUGGGGUCAGAAAUCGGAUAUCUACACUUCCCCGUCUCCCAAAAGAGCUUCCCUCCUUAGGCGUCCGGAGGUCUCUUGGAUUUUUCACUGCUAAUCCCAUCUGUCUUCACUAGACUCACUUCCCACAACUUGCUCCAGGAGGGGCCUAUGUGGACACUGAAGGCGACUGGGGCGGUUCCUCUUCUGAUGUAGUUAGCUCUCAGUUAGCUCACCGCCCAGUUCUCCUUGAUCUCUCCGGGCUGGACCGCCUCGUAAGCAGGAGGAGCAUAGAAGGAGGCGGGCUCCACAAGCUUGAUCUUCUGAAUCCCCUUGUCUCUGUAAACUUCCCCUGGAAGAAGCGAUGCACUGGCGAAGCCAUGUGAGGGGGGCUUUUGGUUCCAGAGAGACAGCCCGAGAGCCCCAGUGGGAACCAUCCGGAGACCCAGAAGAUCGAAUUCGCGGGACGGCGCGUUACCUUCCAACACCGCUGGGCCACCACUC